This is a long non-coding RNA of Bradysia coprophila, 288 nucleotides long. Lineage: Eukaryota; Metazoa; Arthropoda; Insecta; Diptera; Sciaridae. The record is from RefSeq and is a predicted model, not a curated record.
UUAGAGGCGCACACUCGCACAACAUUUCAACUUUUAAAAAAUCGUCUACCUCGAGUUAAUACUAAAAAAGUGUUUUCCCUACCCUAUGACAUGUGCCUGCAUUUUACCAACUUUCACCAAAAGGACACAAUUACUAAAAAAAAGAAAAGAUGCGUAUUGUCUAGAAUUGAAAGACGAAUCCAACGCGCUAUAGCUCGCCCGGAUCGCUGCACCAUAGUAUUGAUUUUCCCCAAAAUUGGUUCAAGUUUUGGCGAUAUCACUCUUAAGAACGCAAAAAUUCUACUCUAC